RNAcentral lists this ribosomal RNA (849 nucleotides) under uncultured bacterium. RNAcentral's name for it is "bacterial SSU rRNA". It matches the Rfam family "Bacterial small subunit ribosomal RNA", at positions 1 to 858 of the family's 1533-position model. The record is from RNAcentral.
GAAUUCGCCCUUAGAGUUUGAUCCUGGCUCAGGACGAACGCUGGCGGCGCGCCUAACACAUGCAAGUCGAACGAGCGAGAGGAGGUUUACUUUCUCAAGCGAGUGGCGAACGGGUGAGUAACGCGUGAGGAACCUGCCUCAAAGAGGGGGACAACAGUUGGAAACGACUGCUAAUACCGCAUAAGCCCACGACCCGGCAUCGGGUAGAGGGAAAAGGAGCAAUCCGCUUUGAGAUGGCCUCGCGUCCGAUUAGCUAGUUGGUGAGGUAACGGCUCACCAAGGCGACGAUCGGUAGCCGGACUGAGAGGUUGAACGGCCACAUUGGGACUGAGACACGGCCCAGACUCCUACGGGAGGCAGCAGUGGGGAAUAUUGCACAAUGGGGGAAACCCUGAUGUAGCGACGCCGCGUGGAGGAAGAAGGUCUUCGGAUUGUAAACUCCUGUUGUUGAGGAAGAUAAUGACGGUACUCAACAAGGAAGUGACGGCUAACUACGUGCCAGCAGCCGCGGUAAAACGUAGGUCACAAGCGUUGUCCGGAAUUACUGGGUGUAAAGGGAGCGCAGGCGGGAAGACAAGUUGGAAGUGAAAUCCAUGGGCUCAACCCAUGAACUGCUUUCAAAACUGUUUUUCUUGAGUAGUGCAGAGGUAGGCGGAAUUCCCGGUGUAGCGGUGGAAUGCGUAGAUAUCGGGAGGAACACCAGUGGCGAAGGCGGCCUACUGGGCACCAACUGACGCUGAGGUUCGAAAGUGUGGGUAGCAAACAGGAUUAGAUACCCUGGUAGUCCACACUGUAAACGAUGAUUACUAGGUGUUGGAGGAUUGACCCCUUCAGUGCCGCAGUUAACAC